Molecule: long non-coding RNA, 2074 nt
Filed under: Homo sapiens (human)
Lineage: Eukaryota; Metazoa; Chordata; Mammalia; Primates; Hominidae
Description: HSALNT0290336
Source: RNAcentral
ACUUCCUAAAGUGCUGGGAUUACAGGCGUGUGCCACUGCACCUACCCUAACUUUCUUAAAAUGUGUGGCCCUCUCCUGACAUAGAGGUCGGUACCCAACCCACACUGAGCCACAGUCUGUCUCUCCCAGGACACUGAAUCUUGGGUGGAUUGACUAAAUAGAUGGCUGGAACCCGUUCAGUCCAGCCAGCAGCCCCACCCUGCAGAAACUGUCCAUUGGUUCUGCGUUCUCCACCUGCAGACCUGCCCCAUUCUCUUCUGAGCCUGCUUCUCCAGGCUUCUCUUCAAUUCUGUGAACUAUCUGACAUCCCUGCAACAAAUUCCUUCCCUGCCUACAUUAGUCAGAGUUGGCUUCUGUUGUUUACGCUCAAGAUACCCAACCGAUGGAUUCUAGGACAACGGAAUUCAAGAACGAAUUGGGCUCCUGUCCUAACUGUCAGCCUUUGUCCCACAGCCACAAAUCAUUUAACUGGGUCCUGUUGUUCUAUAAAACCAUGUGCUUGGUGGCAUGAGGGCUUUGGGAGGCAGCGGGAGUGAUGCAGCUCACCUCCCCACAAUAGGCAGGCUCAACUGGUGGGAAGUCAACUUCCCACCUUUCGUCUUGCGAUGGGUCUACCUCCAACCCACUGAAACCAAAGUGGGCUCCGUCUCAUUCUGGCCUAGGCAGAACAGGGCCCACAGCGCCCUCCCCUUAUAACCACGACUUCCUUCUCUUCCAGGGCACAUUCAGAAGAGACAGGCAUCUCCCUUGUGCAGGGCGGCUCCGUGGCCUGCCCGUCACCACCUGUCUGGGCUCCCUCCCCUUGAGUGAUGACUUCUCCCCAGCAGCUGACACCUGAGCUGGAGAGGGUGAAGAGCUGCCAUUCUCCAGAAAUAGACAGUGACACAGCGGAUGUUAGAUUGAGAUUAAUCUCUUGCACCGGACCGGCCCCUUGCCAACAAACAGGCCUGCAGCCAGAGGAUCUCUCAGGCCCUUUCCCCUGAUCUGGCCUCCUGGGAACUGCGUAACUCAGAUUAACAACAGGCUCUGGAGAGCUGAACAUUGUAUUACGUGCUCACUGGAAAUUUGGAUGUGUCCUUCUGUGAACUGCCUGCCCAGGAGCUAUGACAUGAGCUUUGCAAGUCUUCCCAAGGACCUGUUUGACUGGCACCUCUGUGGACCCAGCAGAUCUCAAAGUGCAGACAAGCCAACAUAACACAGCAUUCACGAUUCUAUUAUAAAAGAUGUGACGCAUCUCUGCUCUGCCGCUCCCCUCUCCCCCCUGACCCAGGCCUAACCUCCGACCACGUGAGUCCCGUCGCUCUUGGGAGUUCCCUGGGGGCCACGCUAUCCCUGGAAUGGGGACUCCCCUUCUGUCUCUGUGCUGUGUGCGACAGUCAUUCCAGGGAUAUCUUCCCGUGAGUGCAGGCAUCUCACCCUCGGCUCACGAAGUGCUCUCUAUGCUUCAAAUAGCUUCAAAAUAAUUUACCAAUACAAGCAAUUCUGAUUUUCCUGGCAAGUCAGAAAUCAAGUUGCUUUUUUUUUGUAUUUAUAAUUUUUCCAGCAGCAGGGGCCAGGGAAGACCCAGGUUCCCAGCACCAGAUAUCUGCACCUGGUGGCCUUCAGCGGGGCUCGGUGCUGCAGCAACUGCUGUCACCAGGGCCAGGGUUGUGGUACGGGGAAGUGACCUCGGGGUGGGGCCUUUGGGGUGGGCAAGGAGAGGUUUCAUGAGAAAUGAGCCUACACAGGUGGAGAAGACCUCGCCAUUAUCUGACCUUCUACUGUCACAGGUGGGGACACAGAAGUGAGGUUACUUCCCUGGAGGAGAUCCAGGCCGACCCCCUAAAUCGUCCACAUGCUAAUCCUCAGAAUCUGUGAAUAUGCUGCCUUGUAAGGCAGAAGGGGCUUUGCCGAUGUGAUUAGAUAAAGGUUCUUGGGAUGGGGGGAUUAUCCUGGAUUUGCAGGCAGUCCUGAUAUAAUCACAAGGGUCCUUAUAAAAGGGAGGCAGGCAGGUCAGAGCAGGAGAAAGAGAUAUGCCGAUGCAGAGAGGUCAUGGGGACGUGCCUGAGAGCCGAGGAGUGCUGGAAGCCUCUAA